AGAAGCUCCGCAGGAACCAGAUCCAUUCACCUACGAUUACCACACCCUGCGGAUCGGCGGCCUCACUAUCGCUGGGAUCCUCUUCAUCUUGGGCAUCCUUAUCAUCCUUAGCAAAAGAUGCCGGUGCAAAUUCAACCAACAGCAGAGAACUGGGGAACCCGACGAAGAGGAGGGAACUUUCCGCAGCUCCAUCCGCCGUCUGUCCACCCGCAGGCGGUAGAACCUCCACCUGGCUCCAGGAAACUCAGCCAGAGCCCCCUUGGCACCUGACACCUCU
RNAcentral lists this long non-coding RNA (277 nucleotides) under Rattus norvegicus (Norway rat). RNAcentral describes it as "long non-coding RNA NONRATT002534". Lineage: Eukaryota; Metazoa; Chordata; Mammalia; Rodentia; Muridae. The record is from RNAcentral.